AUCCUGGAUAGCUCAGCUGGUCAGCGCGUGGUGCCGGUAAUGCCAAGGUUGCAGGAUUGAUCCCUGUAUGGGACA
Molecule: non-coding RNA, 75 nt
Organism: Podarcis lilfordi (Lilford's wall lizard)
Lineage: Eukaryota; Metazoa; Chordata; Lepidosauria; Squamata; Lacertidae
Source: the annotation of a GenBank genome assembly